This 468-nucleotide ribosomal RNA is filed under the name uncultured bacterium. Its description in RNAcentral is "partial 16S ribosomal RNA". It matches the Rfam family "Bacterial small subunit ribosomal RNA", at positions 28 to 507 of the family's 1533-position model. The record is from RNAcentral.
GACGAACGCUGGCGGCGUGCUUAACACAUGCAAGUCGAACGGAAAGGCCCUGCUUUUGUGGGGUGCUCGAGUGGCGAACGGGUGAGUAACACGUGAGUAACCUGCCCUUGACUUUGGGAUAACUUCAGGAAACUGGGGCUAAUACCGGAUAGGAGCUCCUGCUGCAUGGUGGGGGUUGGAAAGUUUCGGCGGUUGGGGAUGGACUCGCGGCUUAUCAGCUUGUUGGUGGGGUAGUGGCUUACCAAGGCUUUGACGGGUAGCCGGCCUGAGAGGGUGACCGGCCACAUUGGGACUGAGACACGGCCCAGACUCCUACGGGAGGCAGCAGUGGGGAAUAUUGCACAAUGGGCGGAAGCCUGAUGCAGCGACGCCGCGUGGGGGAUGACGGCCUUCGGGUUGUAAACUCCUUUCACCAUCGACGAAGGGUUUCUGACGGUAGAUGGAGAAGAAGCACCGGCUAACUACGUG